GGCACAGUGGACCAAUCGUAAGGCGCUCGUCGCAGAGCCAGAGGGUCCUGGGUUCGAUCCCCAGCAGGGUCG
This 72-nucleotide transfer RNA is filed under the name Schistosoma japonicum. RNAcentral describes it as "tRNA-OTHER". The record is from RNAcentral. Lineage: Eukaryota; Metazoa; Platyhelminthes; Trematoda; Strigeidida; Schistosomatidae.